GGGAGGGUGGCCAAGUGGUUAAGGCAGAGGAUUGCAAAUCCUUUAUCCCCCGUUCGAUUCGGGGUCCUCCCU
This 72-nucleotide transfer RNA is filed under the name seawater metagenome. RNAcentral describes it as "tRNA-Cys". It matches the Rfam family "tRNA". From Rfam's summary of the family: Transfer RNA (tRNA) molecules are approximately 80 nucleotides in length. The record is from RNAcentral.